GGCGCCGCCAGGCCCGUGGAGAGCAACUCGGGCCGCGCACAUCCAGUUCCCCCGUUUCUUUAUUCGCACCGCCGGCCCUGCGCGAGUCCCGCAGCAGUUACUGGGUCACAGUGACUAACUCCAGGGCCUGGAGGAACCUGCGGGCUGGCCUCGGAGAGGCCCCUGGAGCUUGCGGGGGCCCAGCAAUUCCAGCGCGGUAGCACCCCCGUAAAGCGGGCCCGGGCUUCCCUGCGCGCUUGGCACAUGAGUCAGGCGAAAAUCUCCCCCUUUUCCAGCUUCCUAGCGGGCGGGAAAACCUUCAGGCUGCCCUGGGCCCUCCCUUUGUGACAUUUCCCCGCUCCCAAACUUCCUGCCUACGGGCUGACCCCGCUGACGGCGGGGGAGAGAGAUUAGGGGGCGAGGUGGGACUGGUCAUAUCUUGUAUUGGAUCAACGUCUGUUCAUUGCAGCAUGGUGCUGAAUCUGCCGCUGACCAGCUCAUCAAACCCAGCGUUGUUCUAGCAUACAAAAGUCAGCACCGGCCAGCUCUUUAAAAAGAGCGUUUGAUUCGCAAGAUCCUUUACAAACAUCAACAGUAACUUGAAGCUGUCUGUGCGAGAGAGAAAAGGCUGUAAAAAACUGGCCUGAGAGAAUAAAGUCUGGAAUAAAAUGGGUUAAACAUUGCAUCAGCCACGAAGCCAUCUUGGGGCUGCAGUGGAAUACAAACAACUCUGGUUCCAUCAUGCUUCCUAGCACAGCAGCAUAACUGAAUCUGAAAUAAGGUGCUAAGCCAAUAGCCCAAUAUUUUGUUAACCCUUGCAAUCUCAUCUUCUUCUGAUAUAACAAAUUAAGAACUGCACCUCUGUUGAGCAUCUCACGUUCAGGACAGCGACAGGAGUGAGCAAAGGCUUGCAGGAAUUGAAAAGCAGUGUGCGCUUGCCCACCAGCCUAUUAAAACACUAAAUUAAAAAUAGACUAGAGAUCUAAAUAAUUAAUCUUAAUUCAGAACCAAGCAAAUAGUGACAAAGUAAAGACAUAGGCCAACUUCAGCCCUGGUUUAGCUCCAUUGAUUUUAGAGAUUAAUUUGGCCUAGGGUUAUUUUUUUGUAGUUUGGUUCCAGAUGAAGACUACAGUCACGAUAACAAAUGGCCUACUGCGUCCAAGAAGAAAUCUGGAAGAUUUCUACAAGUGGAAGAAAUCUGGAAGUUACAAAAAUAAUGCACUUUAGUUGUUUCCUCUAAUUUGGACUGAAAUAAUUGUGAGAGAGGGGAGCAGGUUCUUGCUGAGGUGAUGUGAGAAGCUAAAAUAUGAGACUGCCAUGAUGGGAUGGGCCCUUUAACUCUUGGAUAAACCUUGAAAGAUAGGAGUAAAAACUAAGACUCCAUGGACAUGUUAGGCAGAACUCACUGCUUUUUGAUGGUGCUGGAAACAGAAGCAGAAAUGUGUUUCAAUUCCCUUCAAUGAUGAGUGGUGUUUUUUUCCUCAUUAUUCCAUUUUUUCCUGUCUCUUCACGUUACUCUCUUUUCUUUGUUUCUCCAUACCUUUAUUUCCUUUUUUUCUGCAUUCCUGUUUUCCUCUAUUCAUAUUUUGUCUCUUUUCCAUAACCUCUGUGUACUAGACUCCUCUAUUGUUACCAUUGGUGUACCUCCACUGGUGACAGCAAUAAUGAAGUUCAUGUUUUAAAAGUCUCACUGAAAUGGCAAAAAUUAAAACAGAAUAUAACCUUUCCACGCUCUUUGAAUUUUUCAUGAUAUUUGAUGAAAAAUGAAUUGAUACAAAGAAUGUUUAAGAAUCAAUCCUGGCAAUUUUUCAUUUGAUUUCCCAUUUUUUUAUUCAUUCUGCAAGAAAUCUAAAACCCUCUGCACUUGUCCUUUAUCCACAUUGCUACUCCCUGUGUGGAUUUCUGGGACGGUUCAACCCUCACAUCCACAAUGGACUGUGUCUCACCAUGACUCAGCAAGUAUGUUUCUAGCACAAGAAAUUGAAUUAUAAAGAGGGGAGGAAAACACUUGACUUCACUCCUCUUUCCUCCUCCCAUCUCCUGCUCAUGUCAUCAAUGAAUACCUGAAUGGCUCAACUAAGGGGGAGGGGUCUCAGGCUGACAGGAGACCCAGCUUGUGAAAUUUACAACAGCAUGUGCGGAGACCAAACCUCUUGCUUUUACGUUCACGUAGCUUGUUAAACAUAGAUCAAAGGAUGCAAGACCUCAGACUCCCAUAAUAUAGGUUACUGAGACAAGGAUUGCGAUUCCUGGAAACUUGAUUAAUAUUUGCAGGAUUGAGAAAUCCCAAACGUUACUCUGACCAACAGAGACUCCACUGGCCAGACAGACAGCUGCCCAGCAAAGUUCAGCUUGGGUAUGUAUCCAGUAUGGUUUCAAGUCUCAUUUUUUGGUUUGGGAUGGUUGAAUCAUUUUGGAGAUUUCAGGGAAGUUCAGCCAAGCACCUGUGAGGGAGUCUUACCUGGAUUACCAUGAGACUGUGCUCACUGCCUCAAUUUCCCCUUGCUGGUAGCCCCUUCAGCUAAACCAGAAACUCCUCCCUCUCUUGGGUAACAAAAUUUCAAGGACAAACAUGUGGAAGAGGAGCCCACAAAACCCCAGUCUCUGGAGGGUCCAUAGGCUUUUGGUUUCUCAGUCCAGGGGAGUGGAGAAGAGCUUCUCUCCCCCCUGUGCUGAAGUUGUGGCCCUGAAGGAAGCAAGCAAUUGCCUGCACCAGUUGUUCAAGUCACCCUGUUCAGGGGCUCCCCAUGCCAACAGUUUCAAAAUGACUCCCUUUCCAGCCUUCCAUUCUCUAGCUGUCUCUCAGUGCAGGUCAAGAUGGAGAGAUCAUUCCUUCCCCAAAUGCCUGGACUGCAGGCAGAGAGCUUAUAUACAGCUGGCUUCCUUCCCAGCAUUCCUGGACAGUCUCCAACUCUCAUGGCCCUUCUGGGCCACAAGUCCCAGAAUCCAUCUGUUCUUAGUUUCUACCCAGAACAGGGCAGAGCUGUUCCUGCAACCUGUCUUAAAGGGGCAACAUGCCCUAAGACAGGGUGUCACACCCCCAGUCCUUACUCUGGGACUCAGAUCUGCAUAUCCCCUAGUAUUCUGCCUGCGUUUCAGAAUGCCUCUCCAAUACCUCCUCCUGUUGUCCCACUGCUAUCUCCAAUUCAGGAUCUCAGCAGAUGAGCUUACCUUUCCUCCAGAAAUUCUCUCUUCCCUCCUGCUUCUCACUACCAAACCCACCAUUGUCCAUGACCCUGAGAUUUGCAACCUUGUCGUUCCUUCUGCUCUUCUUUAUCGUUCCCCUCCAAAUCCUCUCUUCCUACGUUGGUGCUAACAUCCUCCCUUUCCUCCAUCCCAACUGCUAACCCUUCGUCUCUCUUCUUGUUUAUUGUAACCCCCUCCUCUCAACUCUCCCCACUCCAGUCUAUCGAAAUCUUGCAGCAAUUACUGCUCUUUGCACUCCAGUAGUGCCUAGAAGGUCUAGUUCCCAUGCCAGGCACUAGAGAAACAACUUUAAAAUAAACCUCUUUGCUGCCACUCGAAACACCCCACCAUCCUCAAGUACUUCUUGUCCCCUUACGCCAUGUGCAAGCACCUCAUCCCCCAAACUCUGACCCGCUCCAACCUGCUUACAUCUCACCUGGUUUUCUUCCAGUCCUACUUCACGCACAGCGCUUUGCCCCUCUCCCCUUUUCCCCAUUCGUGGAUUAGGGCCUUUCAUGUUGCCCUCUGUAUCUUGGAAAAGGCAGCCAAUCAC
Long non-coding RNA from Chrysemys picta bellii (western painted turtle), 3718 nucleotides. RefSeq lists it as uncharacterized. The record is from RefSeq and is a predicted model, not a curated record. Lineage: Eukaryota; Metazoa; Chordata; Testudines; Emydidae.